AAGUCGUAACAAGGUUUCCGUAGGUGAACCUGCGGAAGGAUCAUUAAAGGUAUCUGCCUUUGGCCGUAAAAAAGCCAAAGGUAGUCCAAGAUCAGCCACUGUGCGCACAUAUCGAACAUUUUUUUGCUUUUGGUAGGCAUCGUUCAAUUUUUUGGACGAUUCUGCCACAAGUAAUGCUUAAUGCAAAAAUAAGCCUCAUUUUGUGACUGAAAUUUUUUUAAUAAAAAAAAUACAACUUUCAACAACGGAUCUCUUGGCUCUC
RNAcentral lists this unclassified non-coding RNA (262 nucleotides) under fungal sp. RNAcentral's name for it is "partial contains small subunit ribosomal RNA, internal transcribed spacer 1, and 5.8S ribosomal RNA". The stretch from base 1 to 46 matches the Rfam family "Eukaryotic small subunit ribosomal RNA", at positions 1786 to 1831 of the family's 1831-position model. The record is from RNAcentral. Lineage: Eukaryota; Fungi.